GCUUGAGUGAUGCCUCGCCCGGCUCGAUCGGACUCAAAAUCCGCCGGGAGCGAUCCCUUGCGAGUUCGAGUCUCGCCUCGGGCA
This 84-nucleotide transfer RNA is filed under the name Gemmatimonadota bacterium. Its description in RNAcentral is "Gemmatimonadetes bacterium (activated sludge metagenome) tRNA-OTHER". Lineage: Bacteria; Pseudomonadati; Gemmatimonadota. The record is from RNAcentral.